AGUCAGUCGGUGGGGUAAGAGCCUACCAAGACGAUGAUCAGUAGCCGAGCUGAGAGGGUGGCCGGCCACAUUGGGACUGAGAUACGGCCCAGACUCCUACGGGAGGCAGCAGUUGGGAAUAUUGGACAAUGGAGGAAACUCUGAUCCAGUGACGCCGCGUGAGGGAAGAAGGUCUUCGGAUUGUAAACUUAUUUUAUCAGGGAAGAAGAAAGUGACAGUACCUGAAGAAAAAGGACCGGCAAACUACGUGCCAGCAGCCGCGGUAAUACGUAGGGUCCAAGCGUUAUCCGGAUUUACUGGGUGUAAAGGGCGAGUAGACGGCGCUGUAAGUCAGCUGUGAAAACUUAGGGCUCAACCUUAAGCCUGCAGCUGAAACUGUAGUGCUAGAGUGCAGGAGAGGUAAGCGGAAUUCCUAGUGUAGCGGUGAAAUGCGUAGAUAUUAGGAGGAACACCAGUGGCGAAGGCGGCUUACUGGACUGUAACUGACGUUGAGGCGCGAAAGUGUGGGGAGCAAACAGGAUUAGAUACCCUGGUAGUCCACACCGUAAACGAUGGAUACUAGGUGUAGGCGAGAUAUCGUCUGUGCCGGCGCAAACGCAAUAAGUAUCCCACCUGGGGAGUA
This 622-nucleotide ribosomal RNA is filed under the name uncultured bacterium. RNAcentral describes it as "bacterial SSU rRNA". It matches the Rfam family "Bacterial small subunit ribosomal RNA", at positions 243 to 882 of the family's 1533-position model. The record is from RNAcentral.